Molecule: unclassified non-coding RNA, 254 nt
Filed under: uncultured Planctomycetia bacterium
Lineage: Bacteria; Pseudomonadati; Planctomycetota; Planctomycetia
Description: contains 16S-23S intergenic spacer region
Rfam family: Bacterial small subunit ribosomal RNA
Source: RNAcentral
GACGAACCGUGCAAACGUUAUUCGGAAUUAUUGGGCUUAAAGAGCGCGUAGGCGGCGACGUAAGUUGGAGGUGAAAUCCCAUCGGCUCAACCGUGGAACUGCCUCCAAAACUGCGUUGCUUGAGGGAGCUAGGGGCCUGUGGAACUUCCGGUGGAGCGGUGAAAUGUGUUGAGAUCGGAAGGAACGCCAGUGGCGAAAGCGGCAGGCUGGAUCUCAUCUGACGCUGAGGCGCGAAAGCUAGGGUAGCGAACGGG